RNAcentral lists this unclassified non-coding RNA (251 nucleotides) under Hevea brasiliensis (rubber tree). The record is from RNAcentral. Lineage: Eukaryota; Viridiplantae; Streptophyta; Magnoliopsida; Malpighiales; Euphorbiaceae.
GAGAGUGGGUGAUUUUCAAGGUAUGGUAGCACUUCCCUAACCACGCACGGCUGAAAACUGAACCAAACGUGCAUUAAUUUUCUCGGGUUUUAUAUAGGCGCAGCUGAAGAGCCUUUCAAUUUCUAUUAAAAAAAGGCCCUUCGAUUCGUCCAAGUUUUUAUCUGAGGAUCCCAACAGAUGUCACUGCACAACAUCCAGGCAAUAGUCAUUCACAAGCUUUCAUAUUAAUCAAUGGCAAAAACAAUGCAGGG